AACAAAAUGGCGGCGGAGACUCCCCCAUCCCGGCCUGGCGCGAACCAUUCAGCACCAGUUGGAGGGGGAGAUGCGGAGUAGAGAACGCGCCCCUGCUCCAUCAGAGAGGAACACCGCAAGGGACGACUCCCGGAGCAUGGAUUUAAUCUUCCUCCCCUAAAAAGCGAGUUCAGAGUCACCAGGGUGGCCGUCUACUGAAGAAUAUGUUGCCUUUUCUGUUGGCUGCUGCACUGACAUUACUGUGCCUGGAGGCACCAAAUCCUCCUUACAACCCCGGCUCAAGUUAAAGCUCUAAGAUCUGAGAUCCCACAACCUGCUGGUCCACGCCUGAUGCCCCAGAUGUCUUGCUGUUGAGGUGUACCAAGAAGUGCAUCACCCUCUGUAUUAUGAACAGGCACAAGUAAAGACCUGAGAUCUUUUUCAUCUGUAGGUGUUCAUUCCCUCUUGAAGACUUUGGAUAUACAGCAUACUCUUGCAGUUUGGACAUGACUUAUGUGUGCGUACAGAUGUGCACAGACACUGGGUUAUAUUUAUUCAUAGGAAUAAAAUAAUAUCUCACUGAUAUUUCGUCAACAAACUUUCCCUCCAGUGUGAUGUGCUUGCAAAAAUAGCAACUGCGUUCAGUAAGGAUUAAGUGGCAAACAAUUGUCUAGUUCAAAGGGUGCUUCAAAUACAGGCACCUGCAUAGACGUUUUGUCACAUAGCUUUUAGAGAUUUGUAUUUGAGGGAGCAUGGGUGUGGGGUAGGUAUUACAUUUUUUGUUAUUCUUUCAUUUUUGUAGUCCAUGCUGAAUAUAUGCACCCAACCCCAGGGCAAUGCACGUCAUCUUUAUUCUGUCAAGCUGCCAGGUCCGUGGGACUGCAGGAAGCUGGCAGCAAGUAAAACAGCUCACUUUAUUCAAAACCUGGAAACAUAUAAUCAGUACUUGUUGUGCAUGGAGUUCACCUCGCUUCAGUAGGUGCUUCAGAGCUUUAUUCUAUGUCUCUGCUUUAUAAGCAGCAUUUUUCUAUAAAUAUGCUAGAAUGAAACAUUAGCAUUAGAAAGGACGAAGUGGGAACAUUGCUUUAAUUCAUCUAGGCUUCUUUGGCAUAAAAAUACAUUGGGCAUUCCUUUCAUGAAGCUUAAUAGGAACAUAUAGAUGGGAUUUGAAGUCUAUUUUUUUUUUUUCUUCUCAAAUAGUAAAAUUUAUCUUAGAAAAAACUUUUUAAAUGUGUUAUGGGGAAAAAGGCUGUUAAAGGCUAUUAUUAACCUCUUCUAUUACCACUUUCAGUUGUGAACCAACAUGUGUGUAGGCUGCUUUCAUUCAUGAAUGGCUGCAAUCACUGAGGUAUUUACUGCCAUUUUUUAAAUGACUGGAGAAAUCAGCAGGCUCAUCACAACAUCAGUCACUUGUGCUUCAGCACUUGAAGUCGGUAGCAAGUGGCAGGGGGGGCAGAGCACUGGGGGGACACUUCACCUUUGUGUUGGUGUCACAGCAAAAUCCCAGGAGCAAACUGAGGACCAGGCCUCUGGUUAGACACUUUGGUUAGACCUCGCAGAAACUGGUCUUUAAUGGCACUCUGAACACAUGGCCAGAUAUUCUGAUAUUCUGAUUUCAGCUUGUGAAACAAACAGGGCGAGAAAGUGUCUUGCACAAGGUCAAGAAGGGUAACAGUGGGACAGCCAGCAACACCUCUCCUCCUGAACUGCCCAGGUCAAGUACAAAUCCUGAGGCAGCAAGGCCAUAGUGCAUCUUUCUCUCACCUUUUAAUUCAGUGGUUAUGCUAGCAGGUGAAAUGAGAAAAAGCAGCCCCUUCUUCACAGGCCUGGGCAUACACUUCAGUCUCAGUGUGCUGAGCCUGACAGGCUUUUGAGGAACAAGGAGCACUUAUUCUGAAAAACAGUCAAGUCAGACACACAGAGGUUUCCUUUUCAAGAAAAGUUUCCUGAUCUUUAUGAUCCUCUCUGAAUGUGUACAGAUAAGUAAUGAUUGUUGACUGUUAAGUAUUCAUCCGUAAACCCAUUCAUCCAACAUUUUAAGAGAGCUAACAUACUUGUCAAGAAGAUAGUGGCUGGGUAAAGCAAUGGCAUAAAAUGGACAAUAGAAAAAGGUCCUUUUUAAAAAAGGUGUGUUUAAUUAUGAAUGAAUCUGCUGCAGGUUUUUUGAGGGAAAGCAGUUAUUCUGCUCAUCAUCUUCCAGCUGAGCCUCUCUAUGAAUAAAAUGUGGUUGUGGUUGAAUUAAUUUUACUUGGUUCGCUAAUUUUAUAACGCAAGCCAUCACACACACAUGAAAUGAAUUUACGCACCCGGGUGCUGCAGCAGGGCCGUGCCAGGAGCUCUGCUGUGGGGCGAGAGGGUCUGCAUCCUGCCGAAGGGUGGAAACCUUCUAUGUUUUCCUUUGCUCUGAUGCAACAAAGAGCAUUGUUGCAUUUGGCAAUUUUGUAAAAUAAACUAUUGCUCUGUUU
Columba livia (rock pigeon) is the source of this 2444-nucleotide long non-coding RNA. RefSeq lists it as uncharacterized. Lineage: Eukaryota; Metazoa; Chordata; Aves; Columbiformes; Columbidae. The record is from RefSeq and is a predicted model, not a curated record. The transcript is spliced from 2 exons.